UGGGGAAUAUUGCACAAUGGGCGCAAGCCUGAUGCAGCCAUGCCGCGUGUAUGAAGAAGGCCUUCGGGUUGUAAAGUACUUUCAGACGGGAGGAAGGUGGUAAGGUUAAUAACCUUAUCAAUUGACGUUACCGACAGAAGAAGCACCGGCUAACUCCGUGCCAGCAGCCGCGGUAAUACGGAGGGUGCAAGCGUUAAUCGGAAUUACUGGGCGUAAAGCGCACGCAGGCGGUUGAUUGAGUCAGAUGUGAAAUCCCCGGGCUUAACCCGGGAAUUGCAUCUGAUACUGGUCAGCUAGAGUCUUGUAGAGGGGGGUAGAAUUCCAUGUGUGGCGGUGAAAUGCGUAGAGAUCUGGAGGAAUACCGGUAGCGAAGGCGGCCCCCUGGACAAAGGCUGACGCUCAGGUGCGAAAGCGUGGGGAGCAAACAGG
Molecule: ribosomal RNA, 429 nt
Filed under: Chloroflexota bacterium
Lineage: Bacteria; Bacillati; Chloroflexota
Description: Chloroflexi bacterium partial 16S ribosomal RNA
Rfam family: Bacterial small subunit ribosomal RNA
Source: RNAcentral